CGGAGCAAGGGAAGCAAGUAUUAUUGCUGAUGAUUGGUCGAAGUAGCCCGAGUCAGGAAAAUGGCUGCGAGUACCUCUGUAGUCCCGGUGGCGGUGACGGCGACGGCGACGGUGAUGCCCGGCCUAUCCACUAACGCAGAUUUCUCAGAUUUGCGGGAAAUUAAAAAGCAGCUGCUGCUCAUUGCGGGCCUUACUCGAGAGCGGGGCCUGCUGCACAGUAGCAAAUGGUGAGAUGUCGGGGUCGGAGGGGACCAAGCUUGGAUCCUUGGCCUUGGGGGCUUCUCAAGCUGAUCCAGUUUGUGUGCGUGUUCCAGGUCCGCGGAGUUGGCCUUCUCCCUCCCCGCGUUGCCUUUGGCCGAGCUGCAGCCGCCGCCGCCUAUUACAGAGGUAAGAGCAUUUUCACAGUGAGCGAUCCUCGCCAAAGCAAUGUGCUUGAAGAGGCACAUUGAAUGCCCUGUCCCUGGAGAGGAGCUAACCGUUUAGCAGCAGUGUUUGCUAGAGGGAAUACAAGCGUUUAAAGAGCUGGGUGGUAUAAGUGGUUUUUAUCCGUGGUGUUUUCUUGUUUCGUUUGGUUUUGGUUUUGAUGGUGCUCUUACUUUAAGCCAGAGAGACCACGUACACAAUCAUUGCUUAAGAUUUCAGCUUUUGGGGUUUUGUGGCCCAACCUAGAAAAUACUCAAAGAUGAGAAAAAGCAAAAGUUUUCGCAACAGCUUGGGACUAUUCUUGCUCUAUUGUUUGAUCCGCAUUGCAAAAUGUGUGUGGGCUCUGGGUUCAAAUCUAAAACUAAUGACUUUUGGCAAUUUAUUUAACCUCCUGAGCCCAGUUCUUUUAUCUGAAAAUGAGAAUAAUAAUGACCACUUUGGGAGGGGACAAUUUAGGGAAUUAGAUAAUAUCAGGUAUUCUCAACAUUCCCAUUCAUAAGAGAGAGGUGGCUUGGUAGGGUAAAUAUUUUGCAUCUAUAUUCCAGUCAUGUUCUUUGCUCCUAUCAUCAUUGUGGGCAAGUAAAUGCUAAGUGACAGCCUUCCAUCUAUAGAUAAUAUUAACAAUAGUUGGGUUUUCAAGAUUAAUUAAGACAAUAGAGGUACAAUUUUUAUUUUUAUUUUUUAGAAUUAAAGGUAAAACUCACUCUUGUAUGAUUGUUUUGAGUCCGUGUGAUUUAUAUCUCUUAUUAGCUUUUACUUCCCUGUGACUAUUGUCACAGUGCCUAGGCACAUUGAUGGUCCUGAAUAGAAUAAAAAUUGCUGAAUGAGUAAUAAAGCACAAUGCCAGGUGAAACAUAGAGCCUCAGAAAAUAGUCCUUGCUCCUAACAGUUCAUAUAACACAGGAAUUUUAUAGACAUUUCAGAAACCUAACCAUUAUUGAAUUAUUAGAAAGUAAUAGCUAUUGGUGCUGGGUAUUGCAUGCCUGUAAUCCCAGAGGCUGGGGAGGCUGAGGCAGGAGGAUCACAAGUUCCAGGCCAGCUUCUGCAUUUUAGUGAGGCCCUUCUCAAAAUAAAAGGGUUGGAGCUGUGACUUAGAGGUAAAGUUCAGUCUCCAGAAGCAGGAGUAAGGGUGUGGGGGGUGAUAUUAGCUAUUGGUUAGUUUCAGCUUUCUUUGAGUAUAUUGAUUUAGCAGCUUCUUUUUUAAAUUGUUGGGCAUUUAGUGUUCUCUGGGGAGUGUCCCUAAAAAAUGCCAGAGAAACAUAUUAAUCUCAUUUAGCCUUGAUCCAAAAUUUAAACUAGAGUAAACCUUAAAACAUUGGUCUUCAAAGAAUUACUGAAAUUGAAGAUUCUUUUGCUGUGUUCAAAUCUGUGUAGUAGCCAUCUGUUAUAUAAACAUUCUGCCAGGUAUGAUGGUGCACCCUGUAAUUGCAGCAGCUCAGGAGGCUAAGGCAGGAGGAUCGAAAAUUUGAGGCCAGCCUUUGAGACCCUGUCUCAAAAUUAAAAAAUGAAGAGGGCUGGGAUGUGCCCUUGGGUUCAAUCCCUGGUACUAAAAACAAAACAAAACAAAACAAAAUGAUGUGAUUGGUACUAACUGUGGCUACUUAAAAACUCAGCUUUAAUGCUAAAUACGUCUGAAUCACAUAGUGUGUAACCUUCAUUAGAACAUUCUAGGUUCUCAUAAGCAAGAAUGAAAAUAUAAAGCUAUAUAGUUCAAAUAGUAAAACUUUGUGGACUUUGGAUUUUUUGUUGUUGUUGUUUGUUUGUUUUUUGUUUUUUUUUCGGUUCUAGGGAAUGAAUCCAGGGGCACUUUACCACAGAGCUAUAUUCCCAUUCCUUUUUAAAUUUUUUAAAAAUUUGAAACAGGGUCUUGUUAAGUUCCUGAGGGUCUAGCUAAGUUGCUGAGACUGGCCUUAAACUGCUUCUGCCUCCUGAGUUGCUGGGAUUACAGGUGUGUGCUACCAGCCCUGGCAAAAUAGUAAAACUUUCCGAGUUAUAAAUGUGUGUGAAGAGUUAUAAAUGUUUUGUGUAUGAUCUAUAAUAUGUAUGUAUGCACAGUGUUGUGUAAUUGGAAUGAUUUUUAUCAUAAUCCAUUUUUCCCUGAAUAUGCCAGUUGAUUUUUUUCCCACAACUAUAAAACAGUGACUAUUUCUCAUUUGGCAAGGUGUAAUGCACCAGUACUGCAAAAACAGAGAGAGACAGGUGCAUAAUGAAGGGAGGGGUUCAGUGGAAAAGAAAUAAGCAGCUGGUGAGUAGAAUGUGAAAGGGACCUUCAGAAUCCUAAGAUGAAUGGCAAUAUUUAGGACAUGUUGAUCCAGUGAAGAAAAUGCUAAAUAUGUUGUGAUUCUACUUCUGUACUGGUGAUAUUUGGGUCAAGAUGGAUAAGAAGAAAUGAAGUUUUUCAUGUUUUAGUUAACUCAUUCCUAGAAUUUGGGUGAUCAUACGUUUUUCUUUUUUUGUUACCUGGGAUUAAACCCAGGGGCAUUUAAGCACUGAGCACCCCAGCCCUUUUAAAUUUUUUUAUUUUGAGACAGGGUCUCACUAAAUUGCUUAGGGCCUUGCUAAAUUAUUGAGGCUGGCUUUGAACUUUUCAUUCUCCUGCCUCAGCCUCCUGAACCACUGGGAUUACAGGUGUGCACCUCUCUACCCAGUAUGUUUGUAACUAUGUUUUUAACUUAAAUGUGUUAUGAAUUAUAACUGUAUUUUAUUUUUUUUAAAUAAUUUUUUUAGUUGUGGGUGGACACGAUAUCUUUAUUUAUUCAUUCAUUUAUUUAUUUUUAUGUGGUGCUAAGGAUCGAACCCAGUGUCUCACACAUUCGAGGUAAACGCUCAACCCCUGAGCUACAACCCCAGCCCCUAUAACUGUAUUUUAUGUUGUCAACAAUGCUAACAUAUGAUAAGACUUUGUUGAAAUACAGAAAAUAUAAGUGAUCACACAUGAUAUACUUAUGUAGGAAUUUUAAAAAGAUGAGAAGGAAGAGAAUGCCACAUAUGAAUGCUGGACAUUUUAAGUGACUUUUUCACAUUUUCCUCAUAUCAAAUCUGUAAGGUCAAUAUUACUUAUUCUACUUUACAGAAGAAACAGAUGUUCAACUAGGUGUGGUGGCACACUCCUAUAAUCCCAGUGAUUAGGAGGCUAGGGCAGGAAAAUUCAGGUUUGAAAGCAGACUGGGCCACUUAGUGAGACCCUAUCUAAAAAUAAAAAAUAAAAUGAACUGUUGAGACCCUGAGUUGAUUUUUAAAUUUAUAGCUCAAUGCUGAAGUGCCCUUGGGUUCAGUUCCCCUCCAACCUCCCCCAAAACUUGCCAAAAAAAUAAAAAAGAAAGAAAAGAAAAAGGAAAAAUGCAUGCUCAUGAAACAGAGACCAAGAAUCAGAAAAUGAAUUCAGGUCCUGAACACAAAACCAUUUGCAACUUCCUAAUGACAUUUGAAGAAACAAUAUAAGUUUCUGAGUAUAUUGAUUUAGUGGUUUGUUUUGUUUUUUUUUUUUUUUUUUGGUACUGAGGAUUGAUCUCAGGGACACUUUACUACUGAGAUACACCCCCAGUCCUUUUUAUUUUUUUUAUUUUGGGUCAGAGUGUCUCUAAAUUGCUGAGGCUGACCUUGAAUUUGAAGUAUUCUUAUCUCAGCUACCCAAGUUGCUGGGAUUAUAGGCAUUGGCACUGCACCCAGCUAUGUGUGUUGGUUUAAUUUUUAAAAUUUUUGUCUUUUGCCAGGUUUUGUGAUGCAUACCUAUAAUCCUAGCUACAUGGGGCUAAGGCAGUAGGAUUGUAGAUUCAAGACCAGCCUGGGAAAAGUUAGUGAGACCGUGUCUCAAAGUAAAAUAAAAGGAAUGGGGUUGUAGCUCAGUGGUAGAGUGCUUGUCUAGCAUUUGUGAGGCCCUGGGUUUUAUUCUCAGCACCACAUAUAAAAAAUAAAUAAAUAAAUAAAUAAAACGAAGGUUUAUCAACAACAACAACAACAACAACAUAAUAUUACAUUUAAAAUAAAAUGAAAGACUUGGUAUGUAGCCCUAAGGUUCACUGCCCAGAAAACAAAAAACAAAAAGAAAAAAGAAUAAAAAGGGCUGGGGAUGUAGCUCUGUGGUAGAGUACCCCUACAUUCAAUACCUAGUUAUUUAAAAAAAAAUAUAUGUGUGUGUGUGUGUGUUUGUGUGUGUGUGUCUUUGUCUUUUGCACCACCUUUUUAUUUGAAAAGUAUUUUGGAAAGAAGUAGUUCUUUCCAAAGAAAGAACUUGCCUGGUAGUACAUAUAUAAAAAUGCUGCAUGUAUACAUCUACAUAUGUGUUAGCUUUCUGGAAAUAGAAAAAAAAAAAUCACUUUUCUUAUAUCUUGAAAUUACUGAAUAUGUUUCUUAUGUUUGAACUUUUGUUGUCCUAUUUUCAGUUAUUUACAUGGACUUGUCUCUUUUCUAGGAGGAUGCCCAGGAUAUGGAUGCUUAUACCCUGGCCAAGGCCUACUUUGAUGUUAAAGAAUAUGACCGGGCAGCACAUUUCCUACAUGGCUGUAAUAGCAAGAAAGCCUAUUUCCUAUAUAUGUACUCCAGAUAUUUGGUGAGGGCAAUUUUAAGGUGUUACUUUGCUUUCAGUGAAGCAUUCAUAUUUAGAAUUAAAUAGAAAAAUCCCAGCCUGAGUUGAUUUUAACAGUGGGGGAUGGUGGUGCAUGCCUAUAAUCUUAGUGACUUGAGAGGCUUAGUCAGGAAGAUACAAGUUUGAGGCCAGCUUUGGCAACUUUGUGAGACCUUGUCUCAAAAUUAAAGGGCUGGAGAUGUAGCUCAGUGCUUACGUAAAGUGCCUCUGGGUUUAAUUCCCAGUACCAAUAAAUAAACUAUUCAGUUUUCACUUUUAUUUGUAGUACAUUUGUUGUUUUGUUGCAUGGCUGUUAAAUUGUAAAUGUAAAGGGCAAUACAAGUAUUUAAUUCUGGAAUAUUAUGAAUGUAUUUUCCUACUUUUUUUUUUUUUUUUUUUAGUUAUUUUAUGUGUGAACAGAUCUUUUAAAAUAUUUUAUAAGGCUGGGGGUAGCUCAGUGGUAGAGUGCUUGCUUAUAAUGUAUUUAUUCAUUUAUUUAUUUAUUUUUAUGUGGUGCUGAGGAUUGGGUUUGAUCCCCAACAUUGCAAAAAAAAAAUUAUAUACAUUUACAAGUGUAAGCAUUUAUAAUGUAAUGUAAUCCUUACAUUAUAGGUGUAAGGAUUGAAUUUAGGGAUGCUUAACCACUGAGCUACAUCCCCUGCUCUUUAAGAAAAAAAAAUUUUUUUUUUAAGUAUUUAUUUUUUAGUUGUAGUUAGACACAAUACCUUUAUUUCACUUAUUUGUUUUUAUGUGGUGCUGAUAAUUGAACCCAGGGUCUCACAUGUGUGAGGCGAGCACUCUACAGGAUCUUGAUAAGUUGUCCAGACUGGCCUCCAAUUGCAAUCCUCCUGCCUUAGCCUCCCAAGUAGCUGGGUUUAUAAGCUUGUAAUACUAAGCCUGGCUGGAUUCCUAUAUUUUUAAUUAUUUAUAAUUAUUUACUGUACUUACUUAACUACUUUGGUACUCAAAUUAUCCCACAUUUAGGCAGUGGGAGCCCCCAAAUGAUUGUUUGAAAUUAAUGACCAAAAGCAGAUGCCAUUUUUGUUGGACUUGAACUCUUGGGUAGUUUUAAAACAUGUUUCAGAAUAAAUUGAAAAAAAACCUACCUACUUGUUGAAUUUCUUUUACAGUCUGGAGAGAAAAAGAAGGAUGAUGAAACUGUUGAUAGCCUAGGUAUGAAUUUUUUUUCUCUUAUCUCUUGGAUUAAAAAGUAGCUUUGUAAAUUUAAGUGCCUGUUGGAGCCAGUCAGGUAAUAUAACUGGACUGAGAUGCAUUGUUGCAAAUUUCAGAGCACAUGGCUUAUCUCAUGUACCCUGUUGGCACCCAGCUUCAGCUGAGGGCUGCCUUGUGGCACUCUGGGCCUGAUGUUAUUAGGGCCUUCUUCCUUUGGCCCUUCUCUGUUUCCUGAAGCUAAAAACUCAGAUUUUUAAUUGAGGCUUCUGAUUUUUAGACAAUGAUAACUAAUUCAAAUUUAAAAACCCAACAACUAUUUGGGUGUAGGACUGCAGACCCAUUAUUAGUUGCAAUUUCUAGAAUAAAGUAAAUGGAUCGUAUAAGAUAUCAAUGGACACUUAUGAGUAUUUGCUGGAGGUUUCAAGUAUAACCUUCAGUUGAAACUAAAGGGAAUAUAUACAUCUAUGAAAAUGAAAGCCAGCAUCCUUCUCUUAGAUCAGAGACUUUGUUUCUUUCCUAGGCCCCCUGGAGAAAGGACAAGUGAAAAAUGAGGCUCUUAGAGAAUUGAGGGUAGAGCUCAGCAAAAAGCAUCAAGCUCGGGAACUUGAUGGAUUUGGCCUUUAUCUGUAAGUGGUUUUUAUAGUAAUUUGG
RNAcentral lists this long non-coding RNA (6811 nucleotides) under Marmota monax (woodchuck). The record is from RNAcentral. Lineage: Eukaryota; Metazoa; Chordata; Mammalia; Rodentia; Sciuridae.